CAGCAGCCGCGGGAAUACGGAGGGGGCUAGCGUUGUUCGGAAUUACUGGGCGUAAAGCGCACGUAGGCGGCUUGGUAAGUUAGAGGUGAAAGCCCGGAGCUCAACUCCGGAAUUGCCUUUAAAACUGCCGAGCUAGUAGGUGAGAGAGGUAAGUGGAAUUCCGAGUGUAGCGGUGAAAUGCGUAGAGAUCUGGAGGAAUACCGGUGGCGAAGGCGGCCCCCUGGACAAAGACUGACGCUCAGGUGCGAAAGCGUGGGGAGCAAACAGGAUUAGAUACCCCAGUAGUCCCUGUCUCUUAUAC
Molecule: ribosomal RNA, 301 nt
Filed under: uncultured bacterium
Lineage: Bacteria
Description: partial 16S ribosomal RNA
Rfam family: Bacterial small subunit ribosomal RNA
Source: RNAcentral